GAUGAAGAACGUAGCGAAAUGCGAUAAGUAAUAUGAAUUGCAGAUAUUCGUGAAUCAUCGAAUCUUUGAACGCACAUUGCGCCCUUUGGUAUUCCAAAGGGCAUGCCUGUUUGAGCGUCAUUUCUCCCUCAAACCCUCGGGUUUGGUGUUGAGCGAUACGCUGGGUUUGCUUGAAAGAAAGGCGGAGUAUAAACUAAUGGAUAGGUUUUUUCCACUCAUUGGUACAAACUCCAAAACUUCUUCCAAAUUCGACCUCAAAUCAGGUAGGACUACCCGCUGAACUUAAGCAUAUCAAUAAGCGGAGGA
RNAcentral lists this unclassified non-coding RNA (306 nucleotides) under soil metagenome. RNAcentral's name for it is "partial contains 5.8S ribosomal RNA, internal transcribed spacer 2, and large subunit ribosomal RNA". The stretch from base 1 to 120 matches the Rfam family "5.8S ribosomal RNA", at positions 35 to 154 of the family's 154-position model. The record is from RNAcentral.